GACCACGGAGAUGUAGCCCAGACGCUUAGCAAUCGCCAAGGCGGUGUUGCCAUUCUGAAGAGAGUGCAAUGAAAGAGAGAAAGAGGGAGAACUGAGAGGGAGGACCGCGCUGCGAGCCAAUGAGCUCACCGGCUGCUCCGCCUGAGCCAGCAUUUCCUUCCAAAACCAGGCACAGCUUAGGAAAAUCACUAGUUUUUACCAUUACAUCUGAAUCUCUUUGUAACUUCUUUAGACUAUGGCCCGGGUCACCAUGGUAACACAACAAGCUGCAUCUGCCUGCUCUUCUAAUAAGAAGCACUUGACGCUUUAACCCUGAGGUUGUCAAACAUUCUCUACAAGAUACUGCACUGUGUUUAGGAAAGGACCCCGUGAACUGCGGACGCUGCCUCCGAAAAUGAUUUAGCCAGAACCGAGUACCGUUACUCCCCGUCAGAGGUCAGGCCAUCUGCUGCAGGAAACAGUGCAGAUGGUUCAGGGACUUGCAUCCAGGACUUCAAGAUGAAAUGGAACUCCAGCAAGAAGCAAAUGGGAAGAUCGGAAACGAAGGCCAAAAAUGUAUUAUUUGACCAUUUUCUGGAAAACAGAGAUUAAGAGGAAUUAAAGUGGUUCUCCAGGAUUGUUCAAGAUCACCAGGCUAUUAAAACAAGACUUGAAUUCAGGCAUUGGAUUCCAAAGACACUCAUUGGCCUAUACAUCCUACAGAAAUAGACACAGUAAGUUGGCCACUGAGAAAACUAACAGAAUGGGGUGACUCUCAAUAGGAAAGAAGAUGGAAAGCACUUUAGAAGAUACAACUGUCUUCUGAAACACAACAAAGAAGAAAAUAGACAAAUGGGGAAAAUUAAAUUACAAAGAUAGAUGGAGAACAAAACAACAAUAAAAGAACCAAAGAACCUAAUAGCUAUCAUGAACAUCUGUUGCUUCUGGGUUUCCCUUCUUGCACUUCUGCCUAAUACAAUUUGAUAGAGUCCGUGACAAACGAGGAACUUACCCAGACAUCCAGUAUACCCUGAAGUUUAACUUCAUAGUCGAUCUGGCAUAACUUAAACUGCUUUACAUGAUACGAAGUUGUCUUUUAUCCAUCAAACCUAAAAUCUGUCAUCAUCAUAUUUGACUACGUGAUUACAACUUGAUCCCAUUUUAAGGAGAAAUUCCUUAAAGACCAGGUCAACACAGUGCAAAGAAAAUCAUGUCAUUUGUACCAUACGUAAGUCAUUUCUUUUCAGAAUUCAAAAUUUACUUCUGAAAUAAAGUAUUUCACGUUGGAUUUGUCUUUGCGUUAUAAGGCUGGACAAUGACUGUUUACAGAAGGAAUUUGAUUUGCCCAGGAUGUCCCUCUAUUAUUAAUGAGCAUAUUCUA
Long non-coding RNA from Mustela erminea (ermine), 1360 nucleotides. RefSeq lists it as uncharacterized. Lineage: Eukaryota; Metazoa; Chordata; Mammalia; Carnivora; Mustelidae. The transcript has 4 exons. The record is from RefSeq and is a predicted model, not a curated record.